UUAGAUCUGGUCAGGAUGAACGCUGGCGGCGUGCCUAACACAUGCAAGUCGAACGGUGAUGAUUGAUAUUUCGGAUGGAUUUCAUCAGUAGUGGCGGACGGGUGAGUAACGCGUGGAUAACCUGCCUCGUACUGGGGAAUAGCAGCUGGAAACGGCUGGUAAUACCGCAUAAGCGCACGGACCCGCAUGAGUCUGUGUAGAAAGAUUUAUCGGUACGAGAUGGAUCCGCGUCUGAUUAGCCAGUUGGCGGGUAACGGCCACCAAAGCGACGAUCAGUAGCCGGCCUGAGAGGGUGAACGGCCACAUUGGGACUGAGACACGGCCCAGACUCCUACGGGAGGCAGCAGUGGGGAAUAUUGCACAAUGGGGCGAAAGCCUGAUGCAGCGAACCGCCGCGUGAGUGAAGAAGUAUUUCGGUAUGUAAAGCUCUAUCAGCAGGGAAGAAAGGCCCGAAAGGGAGAUGACGGUACCUGACUAAGAAGCCCCGGCUAACUACGUGCCAGCCGCGGC
RNAcentral lists this ribosomal RNA (510 nucleotides) under uncultured bacterium. RNAcentral describes it as "bacterial SSU rRNA". It matches the Rfam family "Bacterial small subunit ribosomal RNA", at positions 1 to 518 of the family's 1533-position model. The record is from RNAcentral.